RNAcentral lists this ribosomal RNA (325 nucleotides) under uncultured eukaryote. RNAcentral's name for it is "partial 18S ribosomal RNA". It matches the Rfam family "Eukaryotic small subunit ribosomal RNA", at positions 1470 to 1796 of the family's 1831-position model. The record is from RNAcentral.
CCCUUAGAUGUUCUGGGCCGCACGCGCGCUACACUGAUGCAUUCAACGAGCCUAUCCUUGACCGACAGGUCCGGGUAAUCUUUGAAUCUGCAUCGUGACGGGGAUAGAUUAUUGCAAAUUUUAAUCAUGAACGAGGAAUUCCUAGUAAGUGCAAGUCAACAGCUUGCGUUGAUUACGUCCCUGCCCUUUGUACACACCGCCCGUCGCUACUACUGAUUGGAUGUUUAAGCGAGGUUCUCGAACUGCUAGUGACUGAUCUUCGGUGAGGUCGCAGUGUGGGAAGUGAACCUAGCUUUGGUGUCUAGAGGAAGUAAAAGUCGUAACA